UGACUAAGCCAUGCAAGUCGAGAGGGUUCGGCCCUCGGCGUACUGCUCAGUAACACGUGGAUAACCUGCCCUAAGGAAGGGGAUACCCUCGGGAAACUGAGGAUAAUACCCUAUAGGUUACCGAUGCUGGAAUGCUCGGUAACUCAAAGUUCCGGCGCCUUAGGAUGGAUCUGCGGCCGAUUAGGUAGUUGUUGGGGUAACGGCCCAACAAGCCCGUAAUCGGUACGGGUUGUGGGAGCAAGAGCCCGGAGUUGGAUUCUGAGACACGAAUCCAGGCCCUACGGGGCGCAGCAGGCGCGAAAACUUUACAAUGCGGGCAACCGUGAUAAGGGAACCUCGAGUGCCUGUACAUGCAGGCUGUCUGGGUGUCUAAAACACACCCAAAGAAAGGGCCGGGCAAGACCGGUGCCAGCCGCCGCGGUAAUACCGGCGGCUCGAGUGGUGGCCACUUUUAUUGGGCUUAAAGCGUUCGUAGCUGGGUUGUUAAGUCUCUUGGGAAAUCCGGCGGCUUAACCGUCGGGCGUCUAAGAGAUACUGGCAAUCUUGGAACCGGGAGAGGUGAGGGGUACUUCGGGGGUAGGAGUGAAAUCCUGUAAUCCUCGAGGGACCACCUGUGGCGAAGGCGCCUCACCAGAACGGCUUCGACAGUGAGGGACGAAAGCUGGGGGAGCAAACCGGAUUAGAUACCCGGGUAGUCCCAGCCGUAAACGAUGUGCGUUAGGUGUAUCGACGACCACGAGUCGUCGAGGUGCCGAAGGGAAACCGUGAAACGUACCGCCUGGGAAGUACGGUCGCAAGGCUGAAACUUAAAGGAAUUGGCGGGGGAGCA
This 829-nucleotide ribosomal RNA is filed under the name uncultured archaeon. RNAcentral describes it as "bacterial SSU rRNA". It matches the Rfam family "Archaeal small subunit ribosomal RNA", at positions 41 to 878 of the family's 1478-position model. The record is from RNAcentral.